RNAcentral lists this transfer RNA (87 nucleotides) under Candidatus Uhrbacteria bacterium. RNAcentral describes it as "tRNA-Leu". It matches the Rfam family "tRNA". Rfam says of the family: Transfer RNA (tRNA) molecules are approximately 80 nucleotides in length. Their secondary structure includes four short double-helical elements and three loops (D, anti-codon, and T loops). Further hydrogen bonds mediate the characteristic L-shaped molecular structure. tRNAs have two regions of fundamental functional importance: the anti-codon, which is responsible for specific mRNA codon recognition, and the 3' end, to which the tRNAs corresponding amino acid is attached (by aminoacyl-tRNA synthetases). tRNAs cope with the degeneracy of the genetic code in two manners: having more than one tRNA (with a specific anti-codon) for a particular amino acid; and 'wobble' base-pairing, i.e. permitting non-standard base-pairing at the 3rd anti-codon position. The record is from RNAcentral. Lineage: Bacteria; Candidatus Uhriibacteriota.
GGGCGAGUGGCGGAACUGGUAUACGCGCGGGACUCAAAAUCCCGUUCUCGCAAGGGAUUGAGGGUUCGAUUCCCUCCUCGCCCACCA